UGAGUACGAGAUGCUACGGCAUCGAAGCAGUCUAUGUCAUACUUCCAAGAAAAGCUUGCACUGUCAUAAACAAAGAAUGCCUGUACCAUAACCGACACAGGUGGGUAGGUAGAGUAUACUAAGGGGCGCGAGAUAACUCUCUCUAAGGAACUCGGCAAAAUGACUCCGUAACUUCGGGAGAAGGAGUGCCUUAUUUCUAAGGUUGCAAUAACAAGAUCCAAGCAACUGUUUACCAAAAACACAGGUCUCCGCUAAGUCGUAAGACGAUGUAUGGGGGCUGACGCCUGCCCAGUGCCAGAAGGUUAAAGAAGUUGGUUAGCAUUAGCGAAGCUGAUAACUGAAGCCCUGGUGAACGGCGGCCGUAACGAUAACGGUCCUAAGGUAGCGAAAUUCCUUGUCGGGUAAGUUCCGACCCGCACGAAAGGCGUAAUGAUUUGGAUACUGUCUCGGAGAGGGGCUCGGUGAAAUAGACUUGUCUGUGAAGAUGCGGACUACCUGCACCUGGACAGAAAGACCCUAUGAAGCUUUACUGUAACUUGAGAUUGAAAUAGGACUUUAUUUGCGCAGUAUAGGUGGGAGGCGUUGAGAAUAAUCUUGCGGGAUUGUUGGAGCCAUCAGUGAGAUACCACUCUUGUAAUGUUAGAUUUCUAACUUUGUAUCAUUAUCUGGUCAAAGAACAGUUUCAGGCGGGCAGUUUGACUGGGGCGGUCGCCUCCCAAAGGGUAACGGAGGCGCACAAAGGUCUCCUCUGAACGGGUAGAAAUCGUAUCUAGAGUGUAAAGGCAUAAGGAAGCUUGACUGUGAGACCUACAAGUCGAGCAGGGACGAAAGUCGGUCUUAGUGAUCUGACGGUGCUGAGUGGAAAGGCCGUCACUCAACGGAUAAAAGUUACUCUAAGGAUAACAGGCUGAUCUCCCCCAAGAGUUCACAUCGACGGGGAGGUUUGGCACCUCGAUGUCGGCUCAUCGCAUCCUGGGGCGGUAGUCCGUCCCAAGGGUUGGGCUGUUCGCCCAUGAAAGCGGUACGCGAGCUGGGUUCAGAACGUCGUGAGACAGUUCGGUCCAUAUCCGGUGUAGGCGUUAGAAUAUUGAGAGGAGCCUUCUCUAGUACGAGAGGACCGAGAAGGACAUACCUCUGGUGUACCAGUUAUCGUGCCAACGGUAAACGCUGGGUAGCUAUGUAUGGAGUGGAUAACCGCUGAAAGCAUCUAAGUGGGAAGCCCACCUCAAGAUAAG
This 1235-nucleotide ribosomal RNA is filed under the name metagenome. RNAcentral describes it as "bacterial LSU rRNA". It matches the Rfam family "Bacterial large subunit ribosomal RNA", at positions 1564 to 2808 of the family's 2925-position model. The record is from RNAcentral.